Scophthalmus maximus (turbot) is the source of this 3619-nucleotide long non-coding RNA. RefSeq lists it as uncharacterized. The transcript has 4 exons. The record is from RefSeq and is a predicted model, not a curated record. Lineage: Eukaryota; Metazoa; Chordata; Actinopteri; Pleuronectiformes; Scophthalmidae.
CCUCGGCUGUUGCGACUGCGCAGGUGCCAGGAGCAAACAAACACCAUGCAAUAUUAAAGGAGAGGAGAGCGCGGGUAGUCGAAUCAAGCUGGAUUAGAGUGGAGAUGGAAGCCAGAUUGAAAGUAUCAGGGAUGGGGAAAGCAAACUGGUGCAGGACAGAUGGAUCACACAUUUGAAAGAGGUGUAUAUUUAGAGGACUGAUACAUCUAUGAGUGCAUGCAAGAUGAUGCAGUGAAUUUAAGGGGACUGUUCGGCCUUGGUGGAGAGUGCAACUCUGGUGACCAUUUCCAUCCCACCGAGGCGUGUGACACAACAAAUGUGUGUAAGUGACAAACCCCUGAUGGUGAGGAAGUGAGAUGCAUAAUAAUCUGGCUCUGAUUGUCUCAGCAGGACCCGGCAGAUUAUUUGCAGCAGGACUGCCUAUUGCAUAUAGGCACUGCAUAUUUCACACUGAGAUCACGAUGAGCAGUUGGGAUAUCUCAUCAUCAUCAAUGUGGGUCAUUUUUCUUGCUGUACUGCUCCAGCUUCAUGUUUGAUUCCAUGCCCCGUCAGUGAACAAAGAAUCCCUGCAAGAAGAGAUCAAAGGUCAUUGGGCAGAAAGCAGCGUACAGCUUUGGAUGUACUUCCAGAAUCCUCCAAUGUCUAAUGUUGCUUAUUCCAACUAAAGAUUGAAUACACAGUUGAUUUUGUGUAACAAAUGUAAAAAAGUUGUAUAAAUGAAAAUAUAAAACUAUGGAAAAUAAACUUGUUACAGAUAAACAUAGAACGCCUUAUAAUACAAAUGUCAACUUUUGGUUCACGUUGUGCAAAUUGAAAUAUACGUAUGUAAUGUCAUAGAUUUUGUAUAGCUUAAGUGUUAGUGCUGCACAUCAGAUUCCAUCCUCCUCAAACUGAAUUUGUUUUAUUUUAUUUUCCCCAAAACACCUUCUUUCUUCUAAUUUCAUUCCAAGUCAUUUCAGUUUCAAUAAAAGUGACACUAGUGUUUUGGUGGUUGUUAGUUUUUUUAAUUAAAUUGCCUGAGAGAAUUUUCAUGCAGCCAUGUUGAAUGGCUCUCAGAAAUCUAGAGCUUCAUUCAACCAACCUUGGAGCAGAUUGACAGUAGAUUUUGGUCAUGCAGCAACACAGAGGAAAUUUAAGCUUUUCAAAAUCCUGAUGGCUCACAAGGUUGCAUCUAGUAUAGAGAUUGCUUUUGAUUUGCAAACCUUAUUAUUUUCCCUCAAAAAGUGCAAUAUCUGGAGGCUCAUAAAUGCCUAAAGCCAUUACUGUGGGUAAGUGUGAUGAACCAACGAUUCACCCAGCAUCUCUCUCAACACAAACGAAGAUCAUAGAGAAAAUACUAUAAAAGUGCCGAUAAUAUCAUCAGUGUUUGUCUCUUUGCGACGGGAAAGUGGCUCUGUCCAAUCUGUCGGCCCUGCUGGGCUUUGUAAAGGCUCUCUGGCACCGGCCAGCCUGUUUCUUGUUGGUAGUUGUAGUGAACCUGAGAUCUGCUCCUGUGCUGUGUCUUGGGAAAUGGAAAGGCUUUAGUGUCUGCAUCCGGUCAGUCGGAUUUCCAUCUAGCUUGGGGUCUCAAACUUUUCUCAAAGCUUUUAAAUUAAUAAUUUUUUCUUCUCAUUCACUUACAAUAACCGGACAUAAUUUCAUAUUAAAUAUUGUCAAAUAUCUGGAUAGUCUUAAUUGUAAGCCUUCACAUUUCAAUAUACAUAGUCAUUACAUCAACAUUUAAAAUCACAAAUGAGCAUAAUAAAAGUCAUCCAUUUGAACAAUUAUCACACCCUGUCCCCAUAGCUUUCUCUUGUUCUGGCGUCAUUAUGGCUGUUUGCAUGCCUGGAUUUGUUAUCAUGAUCAAUCUUUUUUUUUAAGAACACAUUGCUAUAAAACAAGAAAUAUUUCCCUCCGUGUGCAGCAAAGUUUAUGCUUUUGCAUUCCUUACAUAGACUUGUGGGCAGUUUCUGUACCCCUCUGUCCUCUCUCUCGCUCUCACACCAGCAGUGAGCUGUGAGGCUGUGGUUUACAUUGGCACUGUGAACGUGUUAAUCUGAUUAGACCCCAGGGAAAUGAGUUUGCUUACAGUAGAGGAUGAUGGGGAUUAGUGGUCAAAUGUAAAUGGAUUCAUAUUCUGAUUGAUUUUGCCUCAUUUAUUCUCUGUCAGCCACAGGCAUGGACAUUCAAAUUAAAAUGACGUAACAAUAUUGCACACUAGGGAACCUUAACUGGUUCCCAACAACCUCCUGUCCCUGAUCAUUCCCACCAUUAAACCCCUUCCUUAGUUCCUUGUCAAAUUGUCACUGUUACUCAGGUGUGCAAACUCACCUGCUUUGCCUUCAUGUGUACAGACUUCUACAUGAAUACCGGGGUUUGGUGAUUUUUGCUUGCUCCUUGCCUGCUUUGUUUGCCUGCCUGACACAGACCACCUGGUCUCCUGUGUGCUCUCUGCCUCUGUCAGUGUCAGAGUCUCAGUCUCAAAGACAAAUCUUUGUCUUUCUGUUACUUAAACUAAUAGGGCUGAUUUCCAUUUUAAUCAGAAAUGUUUCCAAAUCGAAGUUGUUGCACAAAGGAAAUGUUGCUUUGCUCUACACUAUCUCUACCCAAUCAUCCCCCACAAGGUCAUUCAGAAUGUGCUGAGGGCUGCCAGAAUACAAAUGAAUCAGCCACUUCCCCCCAAAAAAGACUUAAAAUUGCUUUUCCAUAUAAAAGAUUUUGCAGGAUGGAAUAAAUUGAAAAUAAAUCGCACCCUCAGUUCAUUAUGCAUGACGUUCACUUUGAUAAUUAUGUUAUAUGAAGUUAUAGUAUAUGUAGUAAGGUUUUGACCUUACUAUGUCACUUGCAUUGAGAUGAUGUAUGUUUUGAUUUGGUGCAAUACAAAUAAGAUUGAAUUACAUUCAAUAAUUGUAAUGGCUGCACUAUGUGAUCCAAAUCUUGAAGGAUCUCUUCUCUUCCACUGACAGUUCAGGCUGUUUGGAAGGAAAACACACUUUUAGCAAUAAACAUACCACAAAUGUUAAUCCUUCGUUGGAAUUCUGGAGUUGAUGAUGUAAGUUGUCUAAAAUGGAGUUGAACAUGCACAUGCACUCUUUGGCUGCGCUUGAAUAGUCUGUUUUGCUCAGAAAAGUUCUGAACUGAAUAAAAAGGACCCAGAAGUAUUUCAGAUGCAGUCAUGAUAAGAGCUGGUCACACUUUCUAAAUGCUGGGCUUGAGAGCUUCUCAUCUCAUUUCCUUUAGCACAGGAUAAACUGGAACAUACUCCUUUUCCUAAGAAAGGAGAUAAGGCUGUCCCACAAUUAUUUUUGGCAGCAACAUUUCUUUCACAUCAGUCCAGUUGGGACUAAUGUUGAAAUACAAGCACAUUCAAUUUGUCUUUACAGUAUCACGUCAUAACAAAAUACUGUGUACGUAAAUAUCAUUUGACUUCAUCAUCAUCACUCAUGUGAAUUUUCUCUACUUCACAAAUAUAUAAAAGAGGUCAAACGUGGCCAGAAAACUCUAUAAACUAACUUCUCGACCUGUGCAUUUGGAUUUUCUUCACACUGCAGCUCUCUGUUCCUAACGACUUAUGAAUUCUUCUUCACAUCUUUCCCUGACCUCAUGGCCUUUUCCACCGAGGAAAAGAAAAAGUGGUUAU